UACGUAGGUGGCGAGCGUUAUCCGGAUUUACUGGGCGUAAAGAGGGCGCAGGCGGCUUUCUAAGUCGGAUGUGAAAUCUCUCGGCUUAACCGGGUGGGGUCAUUCGAUACUGGAAGGCUUGAGAGCAACAGAGGGAAGUGGAAUUCCCGGUGUAGUGGUGAAAUGCGUAGAUAUCGGGAGGAACACCAGUGGCGAAAGCGGCUUCCCAGGUUGCUUCUGACGCUUAAGCCCGAAAGUGUGGGGAGCAAACAGG
This 253-nucleotide ribosomal RNA is filed under the name uncultured bacterium. RNAcentral's name for it is "partial 16S ribosomal RNA". It matches the Rfam family "Bacterial small subunit ribosomal RNA", at positions 524 to 776 of the family's 1533-position model. The record is from RNAcentral.